UACGAAGGUGGCAAGCGUUGUUCGGAUUUACUGGGCGUACAGGGAGCGUAGGCGGUUCGGUAAGCCCUCUGUGAAAUCUCCAGGCUUAACCUGGAACAGUCGGAGGGGACUGCCGGGCUAGAGGACGGGAGAGGAGCGCGGAAUUCCCGGUGUAGCGGUGAAAUGCGUAGAUAUCUGGAGGAACACCGGUGGCGAAAGCGGCUCACUGGAUCGACACUGACGCUGAGGUGCGAAAGCUAGGGUAGCAAACGGG
RNAcentral lists this ribosomal RNA (253 nucleotides) under uncultured prokaryote. RNAcentral describes it as "partial 16S ribosomal RNA". It matches the Rfam family "Bacterial small subunit ribosomal RNA", at positions 524 to 776 of the family's 1533-position model. The record is from RNAcentral.